UGCGUAGGCGGAUAAAUAAGUCAGUGGUGAAAUCUUUCGGCUCAACCGGGAAACUGCCAUUGAUACUGUUAGUCUUGAGUUCGGUUGAGGUAGGCGGAAUGUGUAAUGUAGCGGUGAAAUGCUUAGAUAUUACACAGAACACCAAUUGCGUAGGCAGCUUACUAGACCGACACUGACGCUGAGGCACGAAAGCGUGGGUAGCGAACAGGAUUAGAUACCCUGGUAGUCC
Molecule: ribosomal RNA, 229 nt
Filed under: uncultured bacterium
Lineage: Bacteria
Description: partial 16S ribosomal RNA
Rfam family: Bacterial small subunit ribosomal RNA
Source: RNAcentral